AUUGCACAAUGGGCGCAAGCCUGAUGCAGCCAUGCCGCGUGUGUGAAGAAGGCCUUCGGGUUGUAAAGCACUUUCAGCGGGGAGGAAGGCGGUGAGGUUAAUAACCUCAUCGAUUGACGUUACCCGCAGAAGAAGCACCGGCUAACUCCGUGCCAGCAGCCGCGGUAAUACGGAGGGUGCAAGCGUUAAUCGGAAUUACU
Molecule: ribosomal RNA, 200 nt
Filed under: Klebsiella pneumoniae
Lineage: Bacteria; Pseudomonadati; Pseudomonadota; Gammaproteobacteria; Enterobacterales; Enterobacteriaceae
Description: partial 16S ribosomal RNA
Rfam family: Bacterial small subunit ribosomal RNA
Source: RNAcentral